GACGAACGCUGGCGGCGUGCUUAACACAUGCAAGUCGAGCGUAAGGCCCUUUCGGGGGUACACGAGCGGCGAACGGGUAGAGUAACACGUGGGUGACCUGCCCUCAGCUCUGGGAUAAGCCUGGGAAACCGGGUCUAAUACUGGAUAUGACUCCAUGACGCAUGUUGUGGGGUGGAAAGCCUUGUGCGGCUGAGGAUGGGCCCGNGGCCUAUCAGCUUGUUGGUGGGGUGANGGCCUACCAAGGCGACGACGGGUAGCCGGCCUGAGAGGGCGACCGGCCACACUGGGACUGAGACACGGCCCAGACUCCUACGGGAGGCAGGCAGUGGGGAAUCUUGCGCAAUGGGCGAAAGCCUGACGCGAGCGACGCCGCGUGAGGGAUGA
Molecule: ribosomal RNA, 384 nt
Filed under: uncultured bacterium
Lineage: Bacteria
Description: bacterial SSU rRNA
Rfam family: Bacterial small subunit ribosomal RNA
Source: RNAcentral